UGGGUUUUGGAUCUAUAAAGGAGGCCUGAUCACCUAUGGAGCAUGGAGUAUCUCAAGGCAUCUCAAAGAGAUUGAGGGGUCCCAGGGAGAUAGAGAGCACAUAGUAGAGCAUCUCAAGGAGAAUGCUAGGGGCAUCAACAGUAGCCAGAAGUGUCUUGGAACGGUCAGGGAAGUGGCUUAUAGGGAUAGAGGCUGAGACAUAAUGUAGCAACUGAGAGCAUCAUAGGGAAA
RNAcentral lists this long non-coding RNA (231 nucleotides) under Elaeis guineensis (African oil palm). RNAcentral's name for it is "long non-coding RNA (EGUI_LNC046875)". Lineage: Eukaryota; Viridiplantae; Streptophyta; Magnoliopsida; Arecales; Arecaceae. The record is from RNAcentral.